AGCGUGGGGAGCAAAUAGGAUUAGAUACCCUAGUAGUCCACGCCGUAAACGAUGGGGGCCAGGGCGCGGGGUCGACCCGCGUCCGAAGCAAACGCAUUAAGCCCCCCGCCUGGGUACUACGUUCGCAAGAAUAAAACUUAAAGGAAUUGGCGGGUGCCCGCACAAGCAGUGGAGCAUGCGGUUCAAUUCGUGGCUACACGUAGAACCUUACCAGGGUUUGACAUGCCGGCAAAGGCCCCGGAGACGGGGAGAUAGCUAUGCCGGACAAAGGUGGUGCAUGGCUGUCGUCAGCUCGUGUCGUGAGAUGUUAGGUCAAGUCCUCCAACGAGCGCGACCCCCGCCGCCAGUUGCCAUCAUCGAGUUGGGCACUCUGGCGGGACCGCCGGCGACAAGCCGGAGGAAGGCGGGGAUGACGUCAAGUCAUCAUGCCCCUUAUGCCCUGGGCCACACGCGUGCUACAAUGGCCGGCACAGUGGGAAGCGACGCCGCGAGGCGGAGCGGAUCCCAAAAGCCGGUCCCAGUACGGACCGGGGGCUGCAACCCGCCCCCGCGAAGCUGGAAUUGCUAGUAAUCGCGGAUCAGCCAAGCCGCGGUGAAUGCGUUCUCGGGCAUUGCACACACUGCCCGUCACACCAUGAAAGCCUGCAACGCUCUAAGUCGCCAGCCCGACCCGCGAGGGGGGGCGGCGCCCAAGGCGGGGCCGGUGAUUGGGGUUAAGUCGAAACAAGGUAUCCCUACGAGAACGUGGGGAUG
Molecule: ribosomal RNA, 753 nt
Filed under: bacterium
Lineage: Bacteria
Description: bacterial SSU rRNA
Rfam family: Bacterial small subunit ribosomal RNA
Source: RNAcentral